CCCGCCCCCCUUCAACCGCCCAGCUCGCGGCCCGACGCCGCCCGCCUGGCCGGUGACCCGCUGCUGCUGCGCUGCUACGACCUGCGGCUGGUGGACGGGGCGGGGCAGGUGCGGGGGCGGGGCGGUUGGGGGGGGGGCAGGUGUGUGUGUAUGUGCAUGUGUGUGUGUAGAUACCAGCCCAAGCUGACACCAUACUGAACCCAAUGGGGGCCGGGCGGGUGUUUGGGUGUGUUAGUGGGUGCGGUGCGUGUCUCAGCAAGGCGCGGUGCUGUGGCUGCGUCAGUGGCUGCGUCAGGAAGCUGGGGGAUGUGCGUGAGGGUGCAGCUGUGGCUGGAUGGCGGAUGCGCACGCGUCGCAGACCCGCCCUGCCGUUGUGCAUGUACGUGUGUGUGUGUGCCUCACCAGGUGAUGGUGGAGGAGGCGGAGGCGGUGGUGCCGCGGUUUGAGCCCACUGGCUUCUUCGGACUGGCGCCGCAGGCGGUGCGCAAGGUGGGUGGGUGCGCGCGAGAGAGGAGGAGGAGGGCCUCGCUCACGGGGGCCAUGUUUGAUGUAUGCGGCUGAGAGUGUGUGUGAUGCAAGCGACCCUUGCACUUUGCCUGCACUGUUACCCUCCUGACACAACUCAUUUGGCCUCCUGUGUGGCUAUCCCGGCCGCCCGCCAUCACCAUACCGAAUACAUCCUCACCACCUGCCUGCUACGUACGCGGCGCGUCGGCGCCGCCGCCCGGGCCCCACUCCCUAUGCGCGCACAGGCGGGUGCGGUGCUGCUGCUGCGGCUGCUGGCCUGGAAGCGCGUGGGGCUGUGCUGCGCCUCCGCUGAGAGCCUCAAGUACGUGUUUGUGAUGGGCGAGCGCGGCGCCGGCCGGGCCACCGCCUUCGCGCGACUGGCGCAGCUGCCGCUCGACUACAAGGUGCGUGCGUGUCAGUGUGUGUGUGUGUGUGUGUGUGUGUGUGUGUGUGUGUGUGUGUGUGUGUGUGCUGUUUAAUGUUUGCGCGUGUGUAUUUGUUUUUGUGUGUCAGCCUGUGUGUGCGCUUCUGUGUCUGUGUGUUGGUAAAGCAACAAGGGUAAGGUUGACAGGAAAAGUAGAUGAGGGAGAGUGUUUGGUCAUGUCAGGACCAAGCGAAACGAUGGGAAGGUGUGCAUGCAUGUGUACAACAUGCUAGCUGGCGCCCCUUGCCCUUACAGCCGUGCCCCUAUUUCCACAUUUACGCUCCCCAUCUCCCGUUCUCCCCUUUCCUCCUGUCCCCCAUUUCCCCAUGCUAGACUCCCCCUCCAAACCCCAACCACCCAUCACACCACACCACUACUCCCGCACGCCCCCACCCACCCCCCCCCCCGCCCCGCAGGUGCCUCCCUCCGUGCCCGCCGAGAUCCGGCCCAUCCAGCGCCUGCCCGGCGCCUUCGCGGUGCUGCCCGCCGGCCUGGACGCCGACCCCGCCGCCUGCCCCGCAGUGCUGGCGCGGGCGCAGCACUUCGCGGACCUGUCGCACGGUGCGUGUUGAUGUUUGCGCUUGUGCAUGUGCGUGUGUGUGGAUAGGUGCGCAGCUUUGUUCCAUUACUGGGUAUGUGCGGGGGGGUUGUAGAUACCAGCCCAUACUAAACCAAACCCAAUGCAAUAGAGCGAGGAGGAGAGCGUGGGCGAUGCUUGACAACGGGGGUAUUUGAAGCCCCCCUGCUUCCCCCAGCUUCUCAAUCUGUGCCUGCUGCCCCCGCCCGCCCGCCCGCCCGCCCCGCAUGCAGGCGUGUUCUCGGUGCUGGUGUACCUGGUGGGCGUGGACAGCGCGCCCUCGCCCGAGGCGCUUGGGCCGGCGGUGUGGCAGGCGCUGGCGGCGCGGCGGCCGCUGCUGCUGCUGGUGAACAAGGGCAUCAAGCUCACGGAGGCGCUGAGGGUGAGAGUGGGGUGAGCGAGGUAGCAGGGGGCGGGCGGGGCGGCGGGCGUGGACAGGGUGGGUGAUGAGCGGGCGGGCAUGCUGGUUGCGCUGUAGUGUCUGACAGCCUCUGGGUGUAGAGCGGGCCAGGACGCUGGCCACCGGUACCCUGAUGGUGCAUCUGCCUUGCUGUCCACAACCUUAUGUUCUUAAUGUGCCGGUGUCCUGUAGCGGUGCACAACAUGUUGAAUGGUGAUUACGACUAUCGCUAGCCGGAAGUAGGGGCGGCUGACAGUCAGACUGUUUCGCACAUUACAUAGUACCACACUACUUAACUAUAACGGGUAGCUCUCUGGCUUAUACCCUCGCAUGGGUUCCGGGUUAAGUCCUUGCAUGGUGUAUCGCACACACACUCUCGGAACUCCCCUACGUUCUCCCUUAUGGAUAGUUCUGACCGAUAUCUCAACACUCCCCCGCGGGCAGAACUCCAUACUCAAAUUACGUAUCGCAAUAGACUCAUACCUCAAAUCACGUGCUACAAACAAUCCCUGCAUACCUCUGUACGCUUGCCGCUUGUAGUCACUGUGCUACUGCAAUCGUCCCAUGUUCUCGUGUCCUCAAGAUCACGUCUUUCUCUUUCUCACUGCAUCGUCCAUAAUCAGCACAAAUCAAUACGGUCUUCUACCGCAAUCAAUUUCAUCCGGAAAUCCAUACUCAAUCAUAUCUGCACGGCUCCCCCGUGUCCGAAUGCUCCCGCAUUCACUGUACUUACGGCUUCACUUCACCGUACCUGCGGUUUCACACACCGCAUCAUGCCGCACUACCGGCAUCAUAGCUUCAAGUGCUAGAGAGCCAUACACAUAAGAUGAUCUUUUAACAUCAUAUGAUAAGAGCAUAACAGCAACUCUCUACCGCUGGCUUCACUUGCCAUGUUCGUUCAUCUGACUUCACUUGCCAGUCGUGGAUCCUUGCCAGUCCGUGACUUCACUCGCCACAUGUGACUUCACUCGCCACAUAGCAAACCACUCUCAGUGCACUUCACUCGUGCAAACAGUAGCAAAGCUUCACUCGCAUUUGCUCACACAAUCUCAGGUGCUUCACUCACACCCCGUGCUUCACUUGCACGUCUCAUACUGGUGCUUCACUCACACCGCGUGUCAUACUCGCACGCAUAUCGUACUCACGAUGCCUUCCUUGCACCGACAUACUCACGAUGCUUUACUCGCACCGACAGCCCAACGUGGCCGUUCACAUCACAUCGGAGCUAGCAUCAUAGUCUAUGCUCCACAUCAUAUCUUCUGCUCCUACGAACGCUACUAGGCGCGGACCCCCCGGCCGCGCCCCCGGCCGUUUCCCUGGUCCAGGUUCACCGCCCACAUGCGCCGGUCACCGCCGUCCCGGCCUACGUGUGCACCGCGCGCCUGGUUGCCACCGCCGCCCUCAGCGGCCUGCUCCGGGCACUCCCACUGGAAAUGUCCCCAGCCCUGGCACCUCCGGCACUGGAUGUUCUCCUUGUUGCGCACAACGCCACCCUCCUAGCUCGGACCUCCACCAACUCUCCGUAGUGGAAUGGUCACGCAUGCUGAGGAUAAGGCUUGCUUCCUCGCCAUCCCGCGAGUACGCAUUCGACUGCUUCCUUCCUCGCCAUCCCGCGAGUACGAGUCCUUAGCAGCUUAUCACCGGUCGUUCUCCAAAGUGAGCGACCGAUAAACUCCAGACGCGAUGCUGUCCGCAAAUUCCGGCCUCCUCGGCCGGUCGCGCUGACUUUGCCUACAUUAUCCCGAGCCUAGUUGAGCAGCUCAAGGGAUCUUGCGAGCAUUUGCUGCGCCGCCUACUGGGCAGCCGCUUUCCUCGCUCAUUGCGCUCAAUGGCCUACAGCCUAUCGGUUAUCUUGUCUUUACUCGACAAAGCGCAACCCGCCGCAACUACGCGGGGCUCAUAACCUGUUGAAUGGUGAUUACGACUAUCGCUAGCCGGAAGUAGGGGCGGCUGACAGUCAGACUGUUUCGCACAUUACAUAGUACCACACUACUUAACUAUAACGGGUAGCUCUCUGGCUUAUACCCUCGCAUGGGUUCCGGGUUAAGUCCUUGCAUGGUGUAUCGCACACACACUCUCGGAACUCCCCUACGUUCUCCCUUAUGGAUAGUUCUGACCGAUAUCUCAACACAACACCCCUCCCCUUCCCGACCCGCCCCUCGCAGUCCGAGCCGCGCGCGGUGGAGUCUCGGCAGGCGGGCUGGACUGCCGCGCUGCAGGAGGGCGCGGCGCGGCGCGGUCUGGAGGCCGACCUGGCGGCGGUGCUGGUCAGCGAGCUGCGGGACACAGGCCACACGCCGGCGGGGGUGGCGGGGCCGCAGCAGGUGCGCGACUGGCUGGCGGCGGCGCUGGAGGGCGCCACGACGCGCUAGAGCGGGGGGGGGGGGCAGGGAGGCAGAUUGGGGAGGGGUUAGUUGGCACGGGGUUUGGGCAGGGGGCGUGUAAGUGUGUUGCAGGUAUUGUCAGAAAGGAUCCGGGUGUGUACGGUGCGCAAGGAUGGUGGGAGAUGGUGGUGGCGGCGGUGGGUGAUGACGGGGGAUGUGCAGGAUGGAGCAACUGGCACAUGCUGUGCUUGAGAGGUGUUGAUAGUUGGCAGUUGAGGAACUAGCGCCGAGUCGGCUCGUGUGUGCCAGGGGUCACGGCAGCGUGUAAGGAAAGAGACUCUUACGAGUUCCAUUGAUACAUUGUUGCGACCAGAUCCGCCAGUGUUGCCAUGCAUGAGUCAUCAUACAAUAUCCACCAGUUCUGCACACCGGGGCCCUUCCAACUCCUCACCCAGCCAGGCGCCAUCUGCCUGCCGCGGCGAGCUCCCACGCAAUCCUGAGGCCAGCUCGCACACAAAGCUUUGCCAGUCACCAAUCUCCAAGCACACCGUACAACCCUUGCGAAGGGCCCAGCCGCCAGCCGUGUGCCAGGAAGGGGUCUUCCCCAACCCAGCCCGCACUUCAUGCCUUACACGCCAGCCACAACCGCCUCCUUCAUCCUGCCAGCAGCGUAACGAGCUCGCGCCUCCUCUCGCCGCCUGGCCAUCUUACCCUUAGCCCUCAUGGGAUGGUGUGAACAACUAAAGCAGUCAACAAUUCUUCUCACAUGGGUCACAACCGCCUUUCCUCGUGUCCGCAGCGUGACUUGCGUGCUCUGCUCACGCGCCGUGUGCCGUUUGACCUGUUCCUUUUCCUUCGCCUACAGCACACCCCAACGUGCCCUCUCCCCAGCAACGUCGCCCCCCGCAAGCCCUCUUAUCCGAGAUCUACUCAUCAGUACUGCCCCUCUUGCCCCUCUCCAACCCCCGCCACAGUCUGCCCCACAGCCCUAGUUGGCGCCCAACCGGUUGCCGCGUCCGCCGAAGGCGCGGAAUGCGUCCAGCCCCGGCGCGGCGUGCGUGUUGACGCGCCGCCCCACGCCUGCGUCCGCCAGCAGGUUCUUGAGGAAGCGGGGCGUGGCGAGCAGGCGCGGGCCGCCGAUGGCGGGGUAGAGCACCGUGAGGUAGUAGUGCAUGUGCCCCACCACGAUGCCCAGCAGGGAGGGGUACGGGAUGGCCCCGGCCAUGAGGAACUCGAUGCCCACGAACACGAAGGGCACGUGGAAGGCCAGCACCUUGAACAGCCCGUAGAUGGACACCUGCUGUUGCGGGAACUGCCGGCUCCACACCUGGGGGUGGGACAGUGAGAAGUGAAGGUGGCAGGUGGGGUGUGUGUGUGUGUGUGUGUGUGCAAAGAUUGGUACAGAGAAGUGUAGCGAAGAAGACAGCAGGCGUCGGAGUGCGCGGGGGUGGGGUUUAGUGGGCUGGAACGGGAAGGAUGAGGCGGAGGAGAAGCAGGCCAGCAGGACGUCUGUAGCGGCUGGAUUGGCCCGUCUUCACGUCUCAGAACUCCUGCCCCACCACCCCCUCUCCCGCGUCAGAGCUCCCUCCCCUCGCUGCCAUCAGCCCUGUCCUCUGGCCGUCCUCCCUGCAGCCCUCCCUCCCUCUGAUGCUGCAGCUUGCCUGUACCUUCUCCUCUCCCUCUCUCCCUCCUCCCCCUCCCCCACUCACAUACAGCAGCAUGAAGAUGAGGGAGUCGGCCAUGAAGAACAUGGGAAUGCCCAGGCCGAACAGCAGCACCAGGCUCAGGCCCAGCAUGCAGCCGGCGCCAAACAGCAUCAUGAACAGGAAGUCGGCCGGCUCGAAGGCGAACGUCUCGCGCUCCAGCGUGGUGCCGUACGACAGCAGCCACAGGAUCUGUGCGUACGGCGCAGGAGUGCGUGUACGGCAGGUGUGUAUGUGUAUGUGUGUGGGGGUGUGGUAGUGUGAGUGCGUGUGUACGGUGUGUGGGCGUACGGUAUGUGAGCGGAAGCGGGUAGGGGAGCGGGUGCAAGGGUUGCAGCUGGGCAGGCGCACGGCUGCGUGUGCAGCUGUAGGGGUGGAUUCUUUGCGGCGCGCUGAGGGCGUGUGUGUGUGUCCACAGCCCUCAGGCGCUGUGCCGGACCGUCUGCUGUCCGCCGCCAGCUCUGUGUCCAGCCUGCGAACCGCCGCAAUUCGGGCCCACCUCCCACCCGCCCUGUCCCACGCCUGCCGCCUCGCCGCCCGCCGCGCAGUGCCGGCUGCCGGCCCCGCCCCGUUCUUGCUGACCCGCAGCCCGCGCCGCUGCCCUGAGUCGGGGCUCGCUCCCAGCCCUGCCCCCGCCCGUGCCGCGCCCCUGCCCUGCCCCGCGCGCGCCCCUGCCGCCCCACGGCGCCCCCCACCUUGAUGACCCAGUUGAAUGAGAACUUGCCCAUGAAGAAGAAGUUGGUCACCAGGCGCCAAACCUGCAGCAGGCAGCAGGGGUGGUGAGGUGGAAGCAGUGGUUCAGGGGGGCGCCGGACAGCAGGCGAAAGGGGGUCUUGUGCCAUGGCGCGUGCCGACGCACACGCUCGCGGCAGCCUAACCCGCCACGCCCCUGAGUCCCCCCAGCUCCACAAGACAACGGGCACGAUUACAGCUCAACGCUGCUCGCACCUCGAAGUGCGUCGCCACUCGCGGCCAUAAUAGCGCAAUCCACAUAACAUUGACGAAGCCCAAGCGCCACAGCAGGGUGACGAUGAACAGCGAUGCCGCAUAGGUUCGGGUGAUGGGCGGCAGGCUCUCAAACCAAGCCCCUACACCCGUUCCCGCAGCGUUCACAUUUUGGAUGCGCGGCGGCAUCGCGCCUGCUUACGCUCUCUGAAGUGGGGAUGAAGUGUCCCUUAACCGGAGUGGCGUGUUUCGCGGAGCACAGGGGCUCAAUUGAUUGGUGUAUGUGAUGGUAUGUCGAUGCAAGUUAGCUGGGUGCCUCCAGUGACCGAGUUUGGCAGAGCGAUCGUGGACCAACUUCUUUUGCCUAUGUAUUCCAAGCUUUUUCCAGACGGUAUGUGUGCAGUGUGUAUGAGUAGAGUAGAUUUCGUUGCAGCCUCAACAAAAGCAUACGGGAACAAACAUGAAGGCCUCAUUCCAGAACUUGCCACCAUUUGCCCGUUCACAACGCUCGAGUCCAUAUAAGUACACCACAACAAUGGUGCCAUCAACUGCGCGCAUGCUUAGCUCUAGCCCUACGAAUCCGUGCAGCCGCACGCCAUGCAGCGUGCGGCCCUUGAACCCCGUUCGCAACCCGAUGGCCUGCGCCGCGGGCCGGCGUCUAGAACGCUUGAGAGAGGAUGAAGAUGAAUGGAGGCAGCGCAAGGGGCUGCGGGGGAGCCCGACGACAACUAAAGGCGGGCGACGAAGGGACCGUGGCGAAGGCGGAGCUGACGCCGAACACGGGGACAGUCGGAGCGCCCGGGGGCGACCAACGGCUGCGGCCAUAUCUGCUGUGGAGCUCUCAGACCGGGAGCUCCAGGAGCCCUCAAGCAGCGGUCUCGGGCGGGGCAGCGGGGACGGGCAGGAGUCGUUGAGAGAGGAAGAAGAGGAGGCACGGGAGGAGGAGGGGGAGGACGAGGACGACGAGGCCGGCCCUCGCAGUGCGGAGGACGGUUUCUUCGACGGCAAGUCGUACCGCCUGGUGUCCACUGAGAGCGGCGAGAACACCAUCCUCAUCAACGGUGAGAGGACGGGUGUGGAUGCGUGGGCUGUUAGCGGCUGUGUGGAACGGGAACGGUUUACACAACACGCGGCGGCGAUGGAGCUGUGGCGGGUGGCCUCAGUCGGACGGGGGUUCAUGUGGCCCUGCGGCACCUGUGCAAGCGGUCAGUGGUCCAGUGGUAGCAUACUACCCGUGACGGCAGGCCCGGGGUCGGCCAUGCCACAGCCUUACACCCUUCCCCGCCACUCGCGGCCCUGCCCUCGCGCUGCCGCAGGCGUCAAAAUGCACAUCUCCAUGAGCAAGCGGCCGUCGCAGGACGCGGAGGACAAGUGCAAGCUCAUCAAAGUGCGGAAGGGCUCGACGGUGCUGGACAUAUGCUGCGGUGAGGGGUGUGGCCGGCCGGCCGGCUGCAGGGGCUUGCCGCGCGUGCAGUGGGUGCAGCUGGUUGGCAGGGGGCGUGUCAGGCCGCCAACAGAGCCUUUGCUGCCGCAGUGAGUACCGGAGCGUAUUCAUCCCUGCUACUUCUAUCUCCGAGCUGUCAUUCCCCGCACUUACCUGGGCCACUCCUCUUCCUUUCCCCCACUGCCUUCUCCUCCGCCUCCGCCUCCACCACUUAGGCCUGGGCUACAGCGCCUCCGCCGCGGCCCGCCUGGGCGCCAAGCGGGUUGUGAGCCUGGAGGUGGACGCCAACGUGCUGGAGGUGGCGCGGCAGAACCCCGCCAGUGCGGCGCUGUUCGACCCGGAGGGGCCCAUACAAAUCGUGAUGGGGCCGGCGCAGGUGCGUGCGUGCGUGCGUGCGUGCGUGCGUGCGUGCGUGCGUGCGUGCGUGCGUGCGUGUGUGUGUGUGUGGGGGGGGGCGGUGGUGGUGGUGGUGGUGGUGAUGGCGGGAGAUGUCCACGCCAUUCCCAGUAGGACACCCAAGACAUGAGGACGCAGGACAGGACAAGCCUGGGGAGGCAAGGUGUGGUGAGGCGAGGUGGGUUAAGGGGCUCCCUCCCCAUUGAGCGCGGUAGGCUUUUGGUUCGGCGAGUCCUCUCCCGAUCUCCCGUACACGAUGCACCCGCUCACCUUCACUCUGCUCCUCCCCACGCGCCCUGCGUCUCCACCCCCUAGGAGUCCAUACUGGCGUUUGACGACGAGUCGUUCUCGGGCGUCAUGCACGACCCGCCCCGGUUCAGCUUUGCGGGGGAGCUGUACUCGCAGGUGACCAGGCUGGGGGGGGGGGAGUGUGUGGUGCAGGGCGCGGUGCAGGGGGCAGCGGUUGCCAGGGUCAGGUCACGGGGCGACCGCGCUGUUGCCUUUUACCCUUACCCGAACCCACGUGCACCACAUGCCCGAAUCUGCAACCCUGAAAUGGCAUAAACACACACAAGCAGACGCCCACCUGCGCCCUCAUC
Molecule: long non-coding RNA, 9319 nt
Filed under: Chlamydomonas reinhardtii
Lineage: Eukaryota; Viridiplantae; Chlorophyta; Chlorophyceae; Chlamydomonadales; Chlamydomonadaceae
Description: long non-coding RNA (CREI_LNC001006)
Source: RNAcentral